RNAcentral lists this long non-coding RNA (588 nucleotides) under Rosa chinensis. RNAcentral describes it as "sRNA RchiOBHm_Chr7g0213691". The record is from RNAcentral. Lineage: Eukaryota; Viridiplantae; Streptophyta; Magnoliopsida; Rosales; Rosaceae.
GAUUCUCUCUCCCCGAUUCUCUCUUCCUCUCCGACCUCUUCACCUUCUUCCGGCCAUAACUCCUCCAUCCGGCGACGGAUUUUGACGUAUAAGAUGUCGUUGGAAAGCUCUCUUCCUUCCCUUCAUUUCUGGGUUCGUUUCGUAGCUUAAUAUGAACUAUGGAAGAUGCAGCAAUGAGAAGAAGAGGACGGUCACUGUAGCAGUUUUGAGUCAACGCUGAUAUUUUCCGAUUCCGGCAAUCUCCGGCCACCAAAUUGGCGUCGAAGGGUUCUUGGAAUUUCUGGAAAUUUUUCACCGGCCAAAUUGGAGCUCUUCCAGGGUAAUGCCGCAAGCUACGGUUAAAUGAAGGAACUCGUUUGCGUGGUCGCCCAAUAGUACUUUUGCAGGCGAAUUAAUGGAGGUCGGGCGUACAUGACAUUUGAGGCAUAGUUGUCACUACUUCCGCAGCGUAGGAUCGCUUGAUCCUUUACUCUUCUUUUUAUAUCCAUGUUUGUUGGUAAUUGGGAGCAGGGUGGCUCCAGGAGUAUAAGGUUGGUUUGCUUGAAGUGUUUUUAUGUGUUUUACAGGUUUUUGGGUAGUCCAUUUUAG